RNAcentral lists this ribosomal RNA (484 nucleotides) under uncultured bacterium. RNAcentral's name for it is "partial 16S ribosomal RNA". It matches the Rfam family "Bacterial small subunit ribosomal RNA", at positions 30 to 507 of the family's 1533-position model. The record is from RNAcentral.
AUUGAACGCUGGCGGCAGGCCUAACACAUGCCAGUCGAGCGGAUGAAGGGAGCUUGCUCCUGGAUUCAGCGGCGGACGGGUGAGUAAUGCCUAGGAAUCUGCCUGGUAGUGGGGGAUAACGUCCGGAAACGGGCGCUAAUACCGCAUACGUCCUGAGGGAGAAAGUGGGGGAUCUUCGGACCUCACGCUAUCAGAUGAGCCUAGGUCGGAUUAGCUAGCUGGUGGGGUAAAGGCCUACCAAGGCGACGAUCCGUAACUGGUCUGAGAGGAUGAUCAGUCACACUGGAACUGAGACACGGUCCAGACUCCUACGGGAGGCAGCAGUGGGGAAUAUUGGACAAUGGGCGAAAGCCUGAUCCAGCCAUGCCGCGUGUGUGAAGAAGGUCUUCGGAUUGUAAAGCACUUUAAGUUGGGAGGAAGGGCAGUAAGUUAAUACCUUGCUGUUUUGACGUUACCAACAGAAUAAGCACCGGCUAACUUCGUG